RNAcentral lists this ribosomal RNA (1544 nucleotides) under Escherichia coli. RNAcentral's name for it is "bacterial SSU rRNA". It matches the Rfam family "Bacterial small subunit ribosomal RNA". Lineage: Bacteria; Pseudomonadati; Pseudomonadota; Gammaproteobacteria; Enterobacterales; Enterobacteriaceae. The record is from RNAcentral.
AAAUUGAAGAGUUUGAUCAUGGCUCAGAUUGAACGCUGGCGGCAGGCCUAACACAUGCAAGUCGAACGGUAACAGGAAGAAGCUUGCUUCUUUGCUGACGAGUGGCGGACGGGUGAGUAAUGUCUGGGAAACUGCCUGAUGGAGGGGGAUAACUACUGGAAACGGUAGCUAAUACCGCAUAACGUCGCAAGACCAAAGAGGGGGACCUUCGGGCCUCUUGCCAUCGGAUGUGCCCAGAUGGGAUUAGCUAGUAGGUGGGGUAACGGCUCACCUAGGCGACGAUCCCUAGCUGGUCUGAGAGGAUGACCAGCCACACUGGAACUGAGACACGGUCCAGACUCCUACGGGAGGCAGCAGUGGGGAAUAUUGCACAAUGGGCGCAAGCCUGAUGCAGCCAUGCCGCGUGUAUGAAGAAGGCCUUCGGGUUGUAAAGUACUUUCAGCGGGGAGGAAGGGAGUAAAGUUAAUACCUUUGCUCAUUGACGUUACCCGCAGAAGAAGCACCGGCUAACUCCGUGCCAGCAGCCGCGGUAAUACGGAGGGUGCAAGCGUUAAUCGGAAUUACUGGGCGUAAAGCGCACGCAGGCGGUUUGUUAAGUCAGAUGUGAAAUCCCCGGGCUCAACCUGGGAACUGCAUCUGAUACUGGCAAGCUUGAGUCUCGUAGAGGGGGGGUAGAAUUCCAGGUGUAGCGGUGAAAUGCGUAGAGAUCUGGAGGAAUACCGGUGGCGAAGGCGGCCCCCUGGACGAAGACUGACGCUCAGGUGCGAAAGCGUGGGGAGCAAACAGGAUUAGAUACCCUGGUAGUCCACGCCGUAAACGAUGUCGACUUGGAGGUUGUGCCCUUGAGGCGUGGCUUCCGGAGCUAACGCGUUAAGUCGACCGCCUGGGGAGUACGGCCGCAAGGUUAAAACUCAAAUGAAUUGACGGGGGCCCGCACAAGCGGUGGAGCAUGUGGUUUAAUUCGAUGCAACGCGAAGAACCUUACCUGGUCUUGACAUCCACGGAAGUUUUCAGAGAUGAGAAUGUGCCUUCGGGAACCGUGAGACAGGUGCUGCAUGGCUGUCGUCAGCUCGUGUUGUGAAAUGUUGGGUUAAGUCCCGCAACGAGCGCAACCCUUAUCCUUUGUUGCCAGCGGUCCGGCCGGGAACUCAAAGGAGACUGCCAGUGAUAAACUGGAGGAAGGUGGGGAUGACGUCAAGUCAUCAUGGCCCUUACGACCAGGGCUACACACGUGCUACAAUGGCGCAUACAAAGAGAAGCGACCUCGCGAGAGCAAGCGGACCUCAUAAAGUGCGUCGUAGUCCGGAUUGGAGUCUGCAACUCGACUCCAUGAAGUCGGAAUCGCUAGUAAUCGUGGAUCAGAAUGCCACGGUGAAUACGUUCCCGGGCCUUGUACACACCGCCCGUCACACCAUGGGAGUGGGUUGCAAAAGAAGUAGGUAGCUUAACCUUCUGGGAGGGCGCUUACCACUUUGUGAUUCAUGACUGGGGUGAAGUCGUAACAAGGUAACCGUAGGGGAACCUGCGGUUGGAUCACCUCCUUA